AUGAUGGGCUGCUUCACUGGCCUGAGGUCCAAGAAGAAGAAGAGCCCUCUUGUCGCAAGCAAGAAGCAUGGCGAUGCAAGGGACACAUCCCUGAGGCUCCCGGAGCCGGAAGCUCAUGUGCCAUCUCUGCAGUCGGCGCCUCCUAGUUUCAGGAACAGGGCAAAGAUCUGCCAAUCGGCCAAUAAAGUCUCUUACAGCAGGGCACGUGUGCUGUCUGCUCCCUCCAGCCUGAUCCUGGUUGAUCAGGAUGGCCUUCCGUAUGCCGAAUUCGAUGAUCAGGAUGACCCUAGGGGCAAGGGAGGAGCUAUUAAGGCGCAUCGGUUUUCAAAUCCGCUGCCCCUUCCUCUUCCCUCACCAGAAGGCAGUUCUUUGAGGAACUUUGGUAGCUUCAAGGCUAUCAAUGCAAGUGGGCCACUUGAGGUUUCAGGUCCUCUCCCACUGCCUCCGAAGAGGUCCGAUGGGCUUAAGAACUUCUCGUAUGAUGAGAUUUCCACUGCUUGCCAGUGGUUUUCUAGUGAUCAGUGUGUCUCGGAAACUCAGACUUUGACGUCAUAUAAGGCAUCGUUCAGGGAUGAUUUUGUUGAACCAAAGAAGAUGGACGCAAUAGUUGCCCGAUUACUCCCGUCCAACCAGAGUUUCAAAGAAUUUAAGGCACAAGUAAAUACGUUGGCAUCACUUCAACAUCCCAAUUUAUGUAAACUCAUCGGCUAUCAUGCAAGAGAUGAAUCUAAUGAAAGGAUGUUGGUUUAUGAGCGGCUCCAUCAUGGCAGUUUAGACAGGUUACUCUUUGGAAGACCGGAAGGUCGUUUGAUGGACUGGUCUACACGUUUGAAGGUUGCCCUUGGUGCUGCUAAAGGUCUAGCUUUCCUACACGAUGAAGGACCCUUUCAGGCAAUGUAUGAUGACUUCUCAACCUCAAACAUCCAAAUAGAGAAAGAUUUCACGGCAAAGCUGUCGGGAUAUGGUUGUGUUGGCUUCAAUUCUGAGGAGGAAAGAUCUAAGGCAUCUGUGACUGCUACAAACCUCUCAGAGGAAACCUUGGAGAAAGGGGUACUGACUCCCAAGAGCAACGUAUGGAGCUUUGGAGUCGUCUUGCUCGAGCUAAUAACAGGAAGGAAGAACCUUGAUGUACGUUCCACCAAAGAAGAACGCAAUAUUGUCAAGUGGGGCAGGCCUUUCCUCACGGACGAUAGUCGCCUAUCCCUCAUCAUGGAUCCCCGUAUAAAAGGACGCUUUCCUCCCAAGGCUGCUAGGACUGUGGCAGACAUCAUCCUGAAGUGCCUUCAUAGGGAUCCAUCCGAAAGGCCUACGAUGAGGGCCGUCGUGGAGUCUCUAGCAAGCGUCCAGGACAUAAAGGUCCCCUGCCGGUAUCCUCUUCAAGUACCGUCCGCCGCACCGAGGAAAGUGAUGCUAAAAUCCACGAGUCUCAACGGCAUUGUUCCUCAGCAUCCUGUCAUGACCUUCUCGCCGUCGCCUCCUUCGCGCAACCAGCACCUGGUGUCACCGAGAUCAUCGACGUCUGCGCUGCUUCCCCCAAGGAACUGCUCUUCCACCAUCACCCUGGACUACCCCAGGGUAAGCUCGGUCAAGAAAUCGCCCCCCAACAUCAUGCGGAGACCUGGCGUCGAGGGUUUUUGA
Molecule: ribosomal RNA, 1638 nt
Filed under: Triticum aestivum (bread wheat)
Lineage: Eukaryota; Viridiplantae; Streptophyta; Magnoliopsida; Poales; Poaceae
Description: partial small subunit ribosomal RNA
Source: RNAcentral